This 310-nucleotide ribosomal RNA is filed under the name uncultured soil bacterium. RNAcentral's name for it is "bacterial SSU rRNA". It matches the Rfam family "Bacterial small subunit ribosomal RNA", at positions 26 to 363 of the family's 1533-position model. The record is from RNAcentral.
AGAAUGAACGCUGGCGGCAUGCCUAACACAUGCAAGUCGAACGAAGGCUUCGGCCUUAGUGGCGCACGGGUGCGUAACGCGUGGGAAUCUACCCUUGGGUUCGGAAUAACAGUUAGAAAUGACUGCUAAUACCGGAUGAUGACGAAAGUCCAAAGAUUUAUCGCCCAGGGAUGAGCCCGCGUAGGAUUAGCUAGUUGGUGUGGUAAAGGCGCACCAAGGCGACGAUCCUUAGCUGGUCUGAGAGGAUGAUCAGCCACACUGGGACUGAGACACGGCCCAGACUCCGUACGGGAGGCAGCAGUGGGGAAUA